This 557-nucleotide ribosomal RNA is filed under the name uncultured bacterium. RNAcentral describes it as "bacterial SSU rRNA". It matches the Rfam family "Bacterial small subunit ribosomal RNA", at positions 102 to 694 of the family's 1533-position model. The record is from RNAcentral.
ACGGGUGAGUAACGCGUGGGAAUCUACCGUGCCCUGCGGAAUAGCUCCGGGAAACUGGAAUUAAUACCGCAUACGCCCUACGGGGGAAAGAUUUAUCGGGGUAUGAUGAGCCCGCGUUGGAUUAGCUAGUUGGUGGGGUAAAGGCCUACCAAGGCGACGAUCCAUAGCUGGUCUGAGAGGAUGAUCAGCCACAUUGGGACUGAGACACGGCCCAAACUCCUACGGGAGGCAGCAGUGGGGAAUAUUGGACAAUGGGCGCAAGCCUGAUCCAGCCAUGCCGCGUGAGUGAUGAAGGCCUUAGGGUUGUAAAGCUCUUUCACCGGAGAAGAUAAUGACGGUAUCCGGAGAAGAAGCCCCGGCUAACUUCGUGCCAGCAGCCGCGGUAAUACGAAGGGGGCUAGCGUUGUUCGGAAUUACUGGGCGUAAAGCGCACGUAGGCGGAUAUUUAAGUCAGUGGUGAAAUCCCAGAGCUCAACUCUGGAACUGCCUUUGAUACUGGGUAUCUUGAGUAUGGAAGAGGUAAGUGGAAUUCCGAGUGUAGAGGUGAAAUUCGUAGA